This 731-nucleotide ribosomal RNA is filed under the name Venturia phaeosepta. RNAcentral describes it as "partial large subunit ribosomal RNA". It matches the Rfam family "Eukaryotic large subunit ribosomal RNA", at positions 159 to 908 of the family's 3401-position model. Lineage: Eukaryota; Fungi; Ascomycota; Dothideomycetes; Venturiales; Venturiaceae. The record is from RNAcentral.
AUGUUUCGGGUGAAGCCACGGUCCAAGUCCCUUGGAACAGGACGUCAUAGAGGGUGAGAACCCCGUACCUGGCCGUCGGUGCCCCCCGCUGUGAAACUCCUUCGACGAGUCGAGUUGUUUGGGAAUGCAGCUCUAAAUUGGUGGUAAAUUCCAUCUAAAGCUAAAUACCGGCCAGAGACCGAUAGCGCACAAGUAGAGUGAUCGAAAGAUGAAAAGCACUUUGAAAAGAGAGUUAAAAAGUACGUGAAAUUGUUGAAAGGGAAGCGCUUGCGGCCAGACUUGCCCGCGGUUGCUCAGCCCGCCUUUUGGCGGGUGCACUCUUCCGCGGUCAGGCCAGCAUCGGUUUGGGCGGCCGGAUAAAGGCGUCGGGAACGUGGCCUCCCCUCGGGGAGGUGUUAUAGCCCGGCGCGCAAUGCGACCAGCCCGGACCGAGGUUCGCGCUUUGCUAGGAUGCUGGCGUAAUGGCCGUAAGCGGCCCGUCUUGAAACACGGACCAAGGAGUCUAACAUCUAUGCGAGUGUUUGGGUGUCAAACCCGUGCGCGUAAUGAAAGUGAACGGAGGUGGGAACCGCAAGGUGCACCAUCGACCGAUCCUGAUGUCUUCGGAAGGAUUUGAGUAAGAGCAUAGCUGUUGGGACCCGAAAGAUGGUGAACUAUGCGUGAAUAGGGUGAAGCCAGAGGAAACUCUGGUGGAGGCUCGCAGCGGUUCUGACGUGCAAAUCGAUCGUCAA